Long non-coding RNA from Monopterus albus (swamp eel), 663 nucleotides. RefSeq lists it as uncharacterized. The record is from RefSeq and is a predicted model, not a curated record. The transcript has 6 exons. Lineage: Eukaryota; Metazoa; Chordata; Actinopteri; Synbranchiformes; Synbranchidae.
UGCUGAGCUCCGGACCAAUCAAGGAUACGCCGGUGAGGGACCGCCCACUGCCCGUUAGCCCGGGAUCGUGAAAACGGCGGUGGAGGUAAUGGGCUUGAAGGUGUUUGCAAAUACCAUAAAUUGAUCGCCGAAGAAGAAGCAGACAAACGAUGACACCAACGAGGGAAAGAAAGGUUUAAGCGUUGCUGAAGAUGGUGGUGAGGAACGUAUAGUUUAUAAGAUGUCGCCUUAUAGUCCCGGUUUGCAGUGAAACUAUACUUAAGUCCAAGAAAGGAAUAAGCAAGGAAAAUGUUUGUGAUCAAAGCGCAACGUGACUUUACAGAUGUCCGGACCCCCGAACUACUCAUCAGGGAAGAGCUUCCAUCCUGAAACACACUCACCAUGUGGUAGAGCAUGAGUUGAAAUAUCUGUGGAGAAGUGCUGUAACACAUGCUCAGUCAUGCUGCAAUGCUGACCUCCAGGUGGUGACGAACGGCCUGUGGACGAGCAACCAGUGACCAUUUCAGGAGCAGGACUGAGAAAAAUUUGUCAACUCACUCCCUACCCUCUGUCAUGGUCGGUAAUGGAAAAACGCAUCUUGUGCCAGAAGCCCAUACUCAGCACCCUCAGAUGAUUGAUGCUGUGGGUGUGAAUGUACCUCACUGUUCUGUUAUAAUAAACUUG